RNAcentral lists this ribosomal RNA (904 nucleotides) under uncultured bacterium. RNAcentral's name for it is "bacterial SSU rRNA". It matches the Rfam family "Bacterial small subunit ribosomal RNA", at positions 68 to 968 of the family's 1533-position model. The record is from RNAcentral.
GGCAGCACGGGGGCAACCCUGGUGGCGAGUGGCGAACGGGUGAGUAACAUAUCGGAACGUGCCCUGGAGUGGGGGAUAACUAGUCGAAAGAUUAGCUAAUACCGCAUACGAUCUACGGAUGAAAGUGGGGGAUCGCAAGACCUCAUGCUCGUGGAGCGGCCGAUAUCUGAUUAGCUAGUUGGUGGGGUAAAGGCCUACCAAGGCAUCGAUCAGUAGCUGGUCUGAGAGGACGACCAGCCACACUGGGACUGAGACACGGCCCAGACUCCUACGGGAGGCAGCAGUGGGGAAUUUUGGACAAUGGGCGCAAGCCUGAUCCAGCAAUGCCGCGUGAGUGAAGAAGGCCUUCGGGUUGUAAAGCUCUUUUGUCAGGGAAGAAACGGUGGAGGUUAAUACCUUCUGCUAAUGACGGUACCUGAAGAAUAAGCACCGGCUAACUACGUGCCAGCAGCCGCGGUAAUACGUAGGGUGCAAGCGUUAAUCGGAAUUACUGGGCGUAAAGCGUGCGCAGGCGGUUGUGCAAGACAGAUGUGAAAUCCCCGGGCUCAACCUGGGAAUUGCAUUUGUGACUGUACGGCUAGAGUGUGUCAGAGGGGGGUAGAAUUCCACGUGUAGCAGUGAAAUGCGUAGAGAUGUGGAGGAAUACCGAUGGCGAAGGCAGCCCCCUGNGAUAACACUGACGCUCAUGCACGAAAGCGUGGGGAGCAAACAGGAUUAGAUACCCUGNUAGUCCACGCCCUAAACGAUGUCUACUAGUUGUCGGGUCUUUAUUGACUUGGUAACGCAGCUAACGCGUGAAGUAGACCGCCUGGGGAGUACGGUCGCAAGAUUAAAACUCAAAGGAAUUGACGGGGACCCGCACAAGCGGNGGAUGAUGUGGAUUAAUUCGAUGCAACGCGAAAAA